UACGUAGGUGGCAAGCGUUAUCCGGAAUUACUGGGCGUAAAGCGCACGCAGGCGGUCUUUUAAGUUUGACGUGAAAGCUCCCGGCUCAACUGGGAGAGGUCGUUGAAUACUGGAAGGCUUGAGGCAAUGAGAGGGGUGUAGAAUUCCCGGUGUAGUGGUGGAAUGCGUAGAUAUCGGGGGGAAUACCAGUGGCGAAAGCGGCACCCUAGCAUUAGCCUGACGCUCAUGUGCGAAAGCGUGGGGAGCGAACGGGAUUAGAAACCCCCGUAGUCC
RNAcentral lists this ribosomal RNA (273 nucleotides) under uncultured bacterium. RNAcentral's name for it is "partial 16S ribosomal RNA". It matches the Rfam family "Bacterial small subunit ribosomal RNA", at positions 524 to 796 of the family's 1533-position model. The record is from RNAcentral.